This 774-nucleotide ribosomal RNA is filed under the name uncultured Neocallimastigales. RNAcentral's name for it is "partial large subunit ribosomal RNA". It matches the Rfam family "Eukaryotic large subunit ribosomal RNA", at positions 26 to 628 of the family's 3401-position model. The record is from RNAcentral. Lineage: Eukaryota; Fungi; Neocallimastigomycota; Neocallimastigomycetes; Neocallimastigales.
CGCAUCUGUGCAUGCAGCAUAUCAAUAAGCGGAGGAAAAGAAACUAACAAGGAUUCCCCUAGUAACGGCGAGUGAAGCGGGAAGAGCUCAAAUUUGAAAUCUUAAAGGGUUUCCCUUUACGAAUUGUAGUUUAAAGAAGUGUUUUCUGUUGAGGUUUUGGUAAAAGUUCUUUGGAAUAGGACAUCAUAGAGGGUGAGGAUCCCGUAUUUGACCUUUACUUUCAACUUUGUGAUACACUUUCAAAGAGUCGGAUUGUUUGGGAAUGCAGUCCAAAAUGGGUGGUAAAUUUCAUCUAAAGCUAAAUAUUGGCGAGAGACCGAUAGCGAACAAGUACCGUGAGGGAAAGAUGAAAAGAACUUUGAAAAGAGAGUUAAACAGUACGUGAAAUUGUCAAAAGGGAAGCGUUUGACACCAGUGUUGUUUUUCUGAAAAUCAAUUAAAGAACUGUUUAUGCUAAGCUGUUUAGACUUUAUCAGCUAAUCUGUUUAGUUUUGAGCUUUUCUUUAAUGCACUUUUCAGUUAACAAGUCAACAUCAAUUUCUUUUGCUGUAAAAAGCUUGAGGAAGGUGGCUUGAGAUUCGUCUUAAGUGUUUAUAGCCUCUUGCCUAUGCAGUCGGAGAGAUUGAGGUCUGCAGCGUAGAUCCUUCGGGGCUAAAUGCAUUUGUGCUAAGUUAUAGCAUUUUAUAGACAACUUGUUGACUAUGAUUUGUCUUGUAGCUUACUCGCUUAUGUUAUUUUACCUACGCUUAGGAUGUUGAGUCGUAGAGCACGCAG